Tigriopus californicus is the source of this 1419-nucleotide long non-coding RNA. RefSeq lists it as uncharacterized. The record is from RefSeq and is a predicted model, not a curated record. The transcript has 3 exons. Lineage: Eukaryota; Metazoa; Arthropoda; Copepoda; Harpacticoida; Harpacticidae.
AAUAACGACAGCAUUGCCAGUUAGUCUUAAAAUCAUCAUGUGCCUACUUGGAACACUUUUGCACCAAAUGUCUUUCAGUUUGUUAUUCUUUGAUGUUAGCAGCACAUUGGUUCAAUCCCAUUACUAUAGAGAAAUCAAGGUUGGCCGAGGCUGAUCAUUCAAUGGGCUCAUCAAGGACAUGGGUAAGUACUCAAUGACCUAGGGAAAAACAAAUUCAUUUUUUGUGUUGGCUACCCGAAAAUAAUUCUCUCAGAAGUGAAGCUCUUUGCUCGAUGCAAUGCAUUGGACCGACUGCCCAGGAUUCAAAUGAGACAAUCAAACAUGCUACUUGCUCGAGUCCAAUCAGACCCUACCCAUCGCACCAGAAUCGAACGGAACCACCAUUUUCAUCCGACAUGAAUUCAUUCGACAAGAGGAAAGCGUUUUGGUUUACAAUCACAAAAAUCUGGUAUGAAUUCAUUCCAAGCUCCUCCCCGUUAUACGGGUUCCCUUGGCAUUCCCCGAUCCACCUAUGGGCCCUAGAAGAAUCUUAAUGGACUUUCCAUGGGGAUUUCAUUUGUGCUCUGUACACGAAGGAUCUUGCUAUCGUUGGUAUUUUGGCACGGAUGAUUGGAUUCCAAUGCCCUCGCUCAAUGUUCCCCAUUUCGGAGUUCUUGACUUGAUUCAAAUCAAUCAGACAUGGUGGACCUUGGGCGGAUUUUGGCAAGGUCAAUUGCCUAAUGGGACUGCUUCUCUGCAUCGAAUAAGCGAGUAUAUGGACGAAGCGGGACGUUGGCACAUCGGACCUAAGUAUCUGAAUCGGCAUUAUGAAGGAUUGGCUGCCAUCUCAGAUACUUCAUUGUUAGCAGUAGGAGGAGCUCGCCUUCCACAAAAGUUGAACACCUCAAAGCAUGUGGUCACCGAAUUCGAUGUUUCAACAGGAACUACCACCCAUAGGUUCCAAGUUCCAUGUAAAAUGUUUGCAUAACCUGUAGCCCCUUUGAAUCACAGAACGGCACCAAAAUGGUCCUUUGUUUGGGCGGAAAUGUGCCCCAAAGCCCAGCCCGCAUUACAAGCAUCGGUCUUUAUUUACAAUAUAGAAACGGGGCACUGGAUGGAAAUGCCAGAGUGGGAAUUCCCAGAGAGAGUCCGCUUUUCGAAUCUAAUUUGGUUCCAGGGCACUUUAUUUGUGUUUGGCGGUCGUUAUCACCAAAGCGAUUGAAACACCAUCUACAAAUUCGAUCAGACCAAAUGUCCGGCUUGGACGGUCAUCGGCACACUGCCUGAUGAUGAAGGCGACUAUGUUAAUGUUAGAACAGUUUCUCGCUCGAUUGUGGUUCUCUGAUUAUUUGUGUUUGUAUUCACAAGUACCUAUACAACCGGAGUCGUUUGAAACUGAAAAAUGCUUUGCACUAGAUACUAUGGAUAUCAGCGGCAAUA